Long non-coding RNA from Drosophila pseudoobscura, 3254 nucleotides. RefSeq lists it as uncharacterized. The transcript is spliced from 3 exons. NCBI's taxonomy places the organism in Eukaryota, Metazoa, Arthropoda, Insecta, Diptera, Drosophilidae. The record is from RefSeq and is a predicted model, not a curated record.
AACCUUCUGGUAAACGCGAACGCUCCGUGAAGGUUGCCCCAGAAUAGCUUCACCCAUCUCCCCUGCCCCCUCCCCCUACCACCAGUACGGGGAGUACGGGGAGUAUCGGGGAGGGGAGACCACAGUUCUUUUUGGGGCAAAAUCAAAUUCAACCAAUUUGUAAUGGCCCGGAAUUGAAGGAAAAGGCAAAUGUCUUCAUAUGCUUCAUGCUAAGGCUUCCUCUUCGUUCUGUCUCUUUUUUAUGGGCCACAGCCAAUGAACCAGAUAGACAUCCUGCGUGGCCCACACACGUACCCACCCAUGCGCCCAAACCCAUUCAGAGCGCUCUGGACUAGUGUCCCGACUAGAAGAUACCCGGCACUCAGGUCGCCAGAUCUUUAUUAAAAUUGUGGAUAGGACUUGAUCCACGGCUGUUGAUCCUUAUUUGCAGCCUAUCCUUGCAGCCUACACUUACAGGGAGUCGAGGACGAAGACGUCCCUGGACAGGGUCCAGACAAAGUUCGGAUCUGCGGAAGGGAUAGGGGGGGUCGAAAGCGAUUUACGGCAGCGCAUCAAUUCAACGGACAGAAGAAGGACGCGGGGACUGGCAAAUGAGUUCCAUUUAUAUCAUUGGUCAUUACGGAAAUUAUGCGACGCCGAAGCAGCUCCAGCCCCCAGACCCCAGACCCCAGCCCCCAGCCACCGGCCCCAGAGUAGAUAUACUGGGCACGGAAGCGGUAUAAAACGAUAAAGAUACAUUGCAAACGGAAGUCGAAGUAUGAAAAUCGCCUCUGGGACGACGACAACUGCAUGGCAAAGGAUAUACGGUAUGAAUGACACUGGACAAGCAGACGGGUCGGCACUGGCCUGCCCACUGACACGGACUGGGGUGAAGUCGUAAAAAACAGCAGAGCAGCCCAUCAAUAAAAAACGCAAGACAAUGGACCGUGCUCUGAGGGGCCCUCCGCCCUGGGGGAGCGUAAUCCAUGGGAAGGACGAAGGAAGCUUUAGACUCUCUCAGAAGAUGCCAGCCCAGAGAUUAGAGCUGGGAAUAAGUCAGUGAAAAAGGAAGUGACGCGAUCUCAAUGUUGAGAUUAUGCUUGGUCUAUUAUCAACAGCUGUACGGCUGUUCCUUAUACCAGACCUAAGGAAAACACAGCCCAUCUUAUUGAUUCGGAAUGCCUGUCAAUUAAAUCAAGCUGCUGGGUAGGUAAAGAGUAAAUUCCCAUACGUGUAUUCUCGGAAGGGAAUCGCAAGGAAUUCCAGGUCGACCCAGCGAUGUCUGUCCGUCUGUUUUCGAAUAGAAAACGGUGCGGGGUUUUAUUUAGCUCCUAGUCAGGAGUAUGCCAGAUUCGACAGAUUCUGCCAUAGGAACGAUCGUUCGAAAAGCAAUAUCACCUGCUCAAUCCCAACGACAAUCCCCUUCAAAUCCUCUUUCAAAGAGAUGCUCUGGUCGUCGAAAACAAGCUUUCCGAUUGGGUUAAUACAAAAAGUGGUGUACAAACGAGCUGUUACGAGCAGAAGUUAGUUAUACAUAGUUUCCUACGUUUCCCCAACUGCCCAUACUCGUUCGUCAAUGAUUGAUAAGCUUUUGGCCAAAAACUUUUUGGCACUUGUCCUUUGACGCGAUAAAUUUCCCUUUUUCAGCGCUGCCAAAAUGAGAUUUACGAGCAUAUUUUGGAAAAACUUUACCCAUAACAGAACUGCGACUGAGCUGAACAAAGCGGCGACUAAUGAGCGCUUGAAGGACCGCAGAACAGAGUAUUGGAAAUCUUCAUUAAGCUAAUGAGCGGCUGACCCGGGAAUGACGGCGCAAAUGUUUCGAAUGGGAACUGAUGUGUUAACGAUUUAAGGUUAAAGUCAAAACAGAGCCAACACUGGGAGCUCCCUCCGUCAAUGUCAGAUGUACGUGUGCGGCAUGCAAAGCAAAGAGGAACACGCGACAGACACGGUGAAAGACAGCGAAACAGAGGAAGGAAACAGAGUAGCAGAGUAAAAGUAAAGAGCCGGAGGAAGCCCCCCAAUCAUCCGGCCAUGCGAUUACAUGUGUGAACUAUCGAUUGAAUUAAGACAAGCCGAGCAGGGGCCGGAGGGUCUGGUCUGACGACAGACCCGGAGAUGAGGCAGGGACAGCCACUUAAGCGUGUCGCUUGACGGUCGUCGUGCGGGGCUCGACCAGCCAGCAGGUCCUCAUCCACUUGAGGAACGUAAUAAAAAACGCACCAUCCCCCCGCACCAGACCUGCUAGAGAUUCCCUGUCCCAUCGCAUCGCAUCGCAUCGCAUCGCAUCCCAUUCCAUCUAAUCCAAUCCCAUAGCCACCGCUCAUCAAAGCCGUCACACGUCGCAGUGCAGGCAUAAAAAGAGUGCCCCGAGUACGCAGCAUAAUCAAACGGUGUGCGGACCAUAAUAAUGUUGACAAUCAUCCCAGUUGGCCGAGAUGGUCCUGGCUCUGCCGCCUGCCCCUAAGCACUGAUUAUGCCCGACAUGAACUUAGCCCCAUGGUCAUGACAAUUUACCGAUUGUCAUUGUCGUGUCUAUAAAUUUUGUUUGACAAGAGCCCAUUCCCGUCCCCCAGCCCGGUGCUCUCCGUCCCAUCCACACUCGACAUCCACUCAAGCUGCCUGAAUUCACUCGUGUCUGGCCUCCGGCUGCGGCAGAUCCGGCGGACGGAGAGCCGGGAGAAAGACUUUCGGGCGCCGGCGAUUUGCAUCAGAAUUUCAUAAUUAUUGUUUAAUCUGCACUUGAAUCCGAAGAAUACCGAAAUGUCGCAGAGCUGAAGAGAGAAAUAUAUUGAAUAGCCAUGGGUUGGGCGGCAGUCCAAAAGUCCAAGUGGAAUGGAGAACCAUUGAAGCCAGAUUCUAGGAAUAGGCUCUCCAUGGAGAACCAUUUUUGCUUUACCGAAAUGUUUCGCACUUAUAUUUAUUUAAAUGGCGGUUAGAAGUGGUUUCCCCUCGCUUUCCCUUCGCUUUUUGACUUCUUGCAUGCGCCGAUUUCAUGACCGAAAACGAAAUCCGACACUUCCUGCUGGACAAGAAGCAAGCUGGAACCAAAAUAAAUAAUACAGAAUAAAAAAAGAACGAAAUGAAAAGAGCUCGGAAUAAAAUGGCCACUUGAUGGGCAAAUAAUACUCGUAAAAAUCAGAUUCGACAAAAAUUGUUGCGCAACUUGGUCGAUCGGGUUGGGUUGUGGUCGUCUCAGUCUCAUUGCUCAUUGCUCAUUCGAGGGCUCAAAGACGACCGCCAUCGCUUCUGAGGAGAAGGAGGGGGAGGAGGAG